RNAcentral lists this ribosomal RNA (253 nucleotides) under uncultured bacterium. RNAcentral's name for it is "partial 16S ribosomal RNA". It matches the Rfam family "Bacterial small subunit ribosomal RNA", at positions 524 to 776 of the family's 1533-position model. The record is from RNAcentral.
UACGUAGGGAGCAAGCGUUGUCCGGAAUUAUUGGGCGUAAAGAGCUCGUAGGCGGUCUGUCGCGUCUGCUGUGAAAACUCAGGGCUUAACCCUGAGCUUGCAGUGGGUACGGGCAGACUAGAGUGCGGUAGGGGAGACUGGAAUUCCUGGUGUAGCGGUGAAAUGCGCAGAUAUCAGGAGGAACACCGGUGGCGAAGGCGGGUCUCUGGGCCGUAACUGACGCUGAGGAGCGAAAGCAUGGGGAGCGAACAGG